CCUACGGGGGGCAGCAGUGAGGAAUAUUGGUCAAUGGACGAGAGUCUGAACCAGCCAAGUAGCGUGAGGGAUGACUGCCCUAUGGGUUGUAAACUUCUUUUAUCUGGGAAUAAAAUGUUCCACGUGUGGGCUUUUGUAUGUACCAUAUGAAUAAGCAUCGGCUAACUCCGUGCCAGCAGCCGCGGUAAUACGGAGGAUCCGAGCGUUAUCCGGAUUUAUUGGGUUUAAAGGGAGCGUAGGUGGAUUGUUAAGUCAGUUGUGAAAGUUUGCGGCUCAACCGUAAAAUUGCAGUUGAAACUGGCAGUCUUGAGUACAGUAGAGGUGGGCGGAAUUCGUGGUGUAGCGGUGAAAUGCUUAGAUAUCACGAAGAACUCCGAUUGCGAAGGCAGCUCACUGGACUGCAACUGACACUGAGGCUCGAAAGUGUGGGUAUCAAACAGGAUUAGAUACCCCUGUAGUC
RNAcentral lists this ribosomal RNA (460 nucleotides) under uncultured bacterium. RNAcentral describes it as "partial 16S ribosomal RNA". It matches the Rfam family "Bacterial small subunit ribosomal RNA", at positions 338 to 795 of the family's 1533-position model. The record is from RNAcentral.